AUGCAGCAGGCUUUUCAGGAUAUGGCAGCCGGCAGGUGUCCUCAGUUCCCUCCAGCACAAUGCCCUCCAGCACAACCAGUGCUGAUGAGCUUUGAGGAGUUUGUGGCACAGAACGCUGGCCCCUCGCCGGGAACAGGUGGAUCUACCAUUGGCGGUGGUCUUCGCAGCACUCCGGAGACACGGAGCCCGACCACUCUGAUCCACGGAGGCGGAGGUGGAGGCGGUCUUGGCGGUAGCGCUGCCGCUAGCAGUGACGACCUGGGCUUCGGCGGUCUUGGCGGUGACGACCUCUGUGGUGCUCGACGUCCUGGCGCUUAAGCCUUUGGGUCACAUUGUGGCUGUCUUGGUGGUGAUGAUACUUAUAUGCUUGUGAUGUUUCUUAUUGUUGUUUGUGAGAUUCUUAUAUGCUUGGUGGUGAUGAUACUUAUAUGUUUAUGCUUUGCGAU
Non-coding RNA from Triticum urartu, 446 nucleotides. The record is from RefSeq and is a predicted model, not a curated record. Lineage: Eukaryota; Viridiplantae; Streptophyta; Magnoliopsida; Poales; Poaceae.